UGAGGGGUAGCUCAGUUGGUCAGGCCUUGGGUUUGCUCCCCAAUGGUCACCAGUUCGAGUCCCCUCAA
This 68-nucleotide transfer RNA is filed under the name Vitis vinifera (wine grape). RNAcentral's name for it is "transfer RNA-Ala". Lineage: Eukaryota; Viridiplantae; Streptophyta; Magnoliopsida; Vitales; Vitaceae. The record is from RNAcentral.